CUCGCGGAACCUUAAUCCACACACGCAUCGACACGGUCUGUCGGGUGCCCGCCAGGAGGCUUCGGUCUCGUGCUCGGGUUUCAGAUCGGGAUGCGUGGAGGCUCAAC
Molecule: small RNA, 107 nt
Filed under: Thioalkalivibrio sp. K90mix
Lineage: Bacteria; Pseudomonadati; Pseudomonadota; Gammaproteobacteria; Chromatiales; Ectothiorhodospiraceae
Description: t44 RNA
Rfam family: t44 RNA
About the family: This family consists of a number of bacterial RNA genes of between 135 and 170 bases in length. The t44 gene is found between the map and rpsB genes in all species in the full alignment apart from Shigella flexneri.
Source: Rfam by way of RNAcentral